GUCAGCUUCUAUUGUAGCUUCAACCUGUCAGCUUCUAUUGUAGCUUCAACCUGUCAGCUUCUAUUGUAGCUUCAACCUGUCAGCUUCUAUUGUAGCUUCAACCUGUCAGCUUCUAUUGUAGCUUCAACCUGUCAGCUUCUGUUGUAGCUUCAACCUGUCAGCUUCUAUUGUAGCUUCAACCUGUCAGCUUCUAUUGUAGCUUCAUGUCAAUGUGCCAGUUUUUUAUUUGACUUUGUGAAGUGUUUAUUUUGACUCUACUUGUUUAGUUUUCACCUUGAUUAUAUACAGAGGGGUCCGAAGUUAUUGACAUCCUUGCUGAAGAUUAGCAAUAAUGACUAUAUUAAAUUAAUAAAUUGUAAAUGAUAAUAUUUUAAACUAAUGCAAUUGCUCAGAGAUAUGUUUUUGUAAUGCAUUUUUGUUGUAAAAGGUUAGGGGUCAAAAUGAUUGACAGCCCAAAUCUACAGUGUGAUGAUGUCAUUACUAUGAAUAUAGAACCAGAUACUGACCUUCUGACUAGUUUAUUAAUCUUUAGGGGGUCAAUCAUUUAGAAAAUAAAUACUACUUGUUAAACUAAAUAUUUGAAUCAGAUCAAUCGUAUUAGUAUAAAAUAAUAUAAUUUACACAUGUUGAGCAGAUAGAGCUCAGUAUUUAAAUUAUUUAUUUAUACAGUCAUUAUUAUCUUUAUCAGGGGUGUCUAUAAUUCCAGACCCACUGUAUAUUAUAUAUUGAUGUAUUUAUACAGUCAUUAUUAUCUUUAUCAGGGGUGUCUAUAAUUCCAGACCCCACUGUAUAUUAUAUAUUGAUGUAUUUAUACAGUCAUUAUUAUCUUUAUCAAGGGUGUCUAUAAUUCCAGACCUCACUGUAUAUUAUAUAUUGAUGUAUUUAAUACAGUCAUUAUUAUCUUUAUCAGGGGUGUCUAUAAUUCCAGACCCCACUGCAUAUUAUAUAUUGAUCAUGUAUAUACAGUUGAAUGGUAUUUUCCAUGUAUUGAUUAUUUCUUGUUUUACUAAACUAGGACAUCAUUGUGUCAGAA
Molecule: non-coding RNA, 1033 nt
Organism: Oncorhynchus mykiss (rainbow trout)
Lineage: Eukaryota; Metazoa; Chordata; Actinopteri; Salmoniformes; Salmonidae
Source: RefSeq, a predicted model, not a curated record